AGGAGAUUAGUCUAAUUAAGACUUCUGAUUUCGACUCAGAUAAUUAUGGUUAAACCCCAUAAUCUCCUU
This 69-nucleotide transfer RNA is filed under the name Ilisha africana (West African ilisha). RNAcentral's name for it is "tRNA-Arg". It matches the Rfam family "tRNA". Rfam says of the family: Transfer RNA (tRNA) molecules are approximately 80 nucleotides in length. Their secondary structure includes four short double-helical elements and three loops (D, anti-codon, and T loops). The record is from RNAcentral. Lineage: Eukaryota; Metazoa; Chordata; Actinopteri; Clupeiformes; Pristigasteridae.